AGGCGUAUAGCUCAGCCGGUAGAGCAGCGGUCUCCAAAACCGCAGGUCGUGGGUUCGAAACCUACUGCGCCUG
RNAcentral lists this transfer RNA (73 nucleotides) under Spirochaetaceae bacterium. RNAcentral's name for it is "tRNA-Trp". It matches the Rfam family "tRNA". From Rfam's summary of the family: Transfer RNA (tRNA) molecules are approximately 80 nucleotides in length. Their secondary structure includes four short double-helical elements and three loops (D, anti-codon, and T loops). The record is from RNAcentral. Lineage: Bacteria; Pseudomonadati; Spirochaetota; Spirochaetia; Spirochaetales; Spirochaetaceae.